Molecule: ribosomal RNA, 641 nt
Filed under: uncultured Verrucomicrobiota bacterium
Lineage: Bacteria; Pseudomonadati; Verrucomicrobiota
Description: bacterial SSU rRNA
Rfam family: Bacterial small subunit ribosomal RNA
Source: RNAcentral
GACAUGCAAGUCGAGCGAGAUUCCUUUAAUUGAUCCCUUCGGGGUGAUUUUAUUGGAUGAUAGCGGCGAACGGGUGAGUAACACGUGAGCAACCUGCCCUAAAGAUCGGGAUAGCCCGCCGAAAGGUGGAUUAAUACCGGAUGUGGUCCUUGAAGACAUCUUCAAGGUACUAAAGCUUGUAAUGGCGCUUUAGGAGGGGCUCGCGGCCUAUCAGCUUGUUGGUGAGGUAACGGCUCACCAAGGCUAAGACGGGUAGCUGGUCUGAGAGGAUGAUCAGCCACACUGGGACUGAGACACGGCCCAGACACCUACGGGUGGCAGCAGUUUCGAAUCAUUCACAAUGGGGGAAACCCUGAUGGUGCAACGCCGCGUGGGGAAUGAAGGCCUUCGGGUCGUAAACCCCUGUCACAAGGGACUAAACGUAUGGCUCAUACCCAUACUUGAAUUAACCUUGAGAGGAAGAGGUGGCUAACUCCGUGCCAGCAGCCGCGGUAAUACGGAGACCUCGAGCGUUACUCGGAUUUACUGGGCGUAAAGGGUUCGUAGGCGGACCAAUGUGUCGGGUGUGAAAUCCCACGGCUUAACCGUGGAACUGCGCUCGAAACUAUUGGUCUAGAGUACUGGAGAGGUGAGUGGAAUUC